UACAGGGGGCGCGAGCGUUGCUCGGAAUCACUGGGCGUAAAGCGUACGCAGGCGGGGCGAUAAGGUCGUUGUGAAAUCCCGGGGCUCAACCCCGGAACUGCGAUGAAGACUGUCGAUCUUGAGUACGGGAGAGGGGAGCGGAAUUCCUGGUGUAGAGGUGAAAUUCGUAGAUAUCAGGAGGAACACCGGUGGCGAAAGCGGCUCCCUGGCCCGAUACUGACGCUCAUGUACGAAAGCGUGGGGAGCAAACAGG
RNAcentral lists this ribosomal RNA (253 nucleotides) under uncultured bacterium. Its description in RNAcentral is "partial 16S ribosomal RNA". It matches the Rfam family "Bacterial small subunit ribosomal RNA", at positions 524 to 776 of the family's 1533-position model. The record is from RNAcentral.